CCUACGGGGGGCAGCAGUGGGGAAUAUUGGACAAUGGGCGAAAGCCUGAUCCAGCAACGCCGCGUGAGGGAUGACGGCCUUCGGGUUGUAAACCUCUUUCAGCAGGGACGAAGCGCAAGUGACGGUACCUGCAGAAGAAGCACCGGCCAACUACGUGCCAGCAGCCGCGGUAAUACGUAGGGUGCAAGCGUUGUCCGGAAUUAUUGGGCGUAAAGGGCUCGUAGGCGGUCCAUCGCGUCGGGAGUGAAAAGCUGGGGCUUAACCCCAGUCCUGCUUUCGAUACGGGUGGACUAGAGGUAGGCAGGGGAGAACGGAAUUCCUGGUGUAGCGGUGAAAUGCGCAGAUAUCAGGAGGAACACCGGUGGCGAAGGCGGUUCUCUGGGCCUUACCUGACGCUGAGGAGCGAAAGCGUGGGGAGCAAACAGGAUUAGAUACCCUAG
This 440-nucleotide ribosomal RNA is filed under the name uncultured bacterium. RNAcentral's name for it is "bacterial SSU rRNA". It matches the Rfam family "Bacterial small subunit ribosomal RNA", at positions 338 to 790 of the family's 1533-position model. The record is from RNAcentral.